This 253-nucleotide ribosomal RNA is filed under the name uncultured bacterium. Its description in RNAcentral is "partial 16S ribosomal RNA". It matches the Rfam family "Bacterial small subunit ribosomal RNA", at positions 524 to 776 of the family's 1533-position model. The record is from RNAcentral.
GACGGAGGGGGCUAGCGUUGAUCGGAAUUACUGGGCGUAAAGGGCGCGUAGGCGGCUCUGUAAGUCGGGUGUGAAAGCCCGGGGCUCAACCCCGGAACGGCACCCGAGACUGCGGAGCUCGAGACCGGAGGAGGUGAGUGGAAUACCCAGUGUAGAGGUGAAAUUCGUAGAGAUUGGGUGGAACACCGGUGGCGAAAGCGGCUCACUGGUCCGGUUCUGACGCUGAGGCGCGAAAGAGUGGGGAGCAAACAGG